UCUAAAAGUUGGAGCUCACAAAUGUUGCUAGAUUAAGAAGAAGAAAUGGGUUUAUGGUGUUAAUAACCUAAAUUUGUGCUGCAAAAUGCAUGUAAAUUGUGCCUGAAUGAGUUUUAAUAUACAUAACGUCACAUACCAACCACCCACAGCACACGAUGUCAGUUUUCUGUCUUUAAAACUAAUCUUAAAUACUCUUAAUAUUCUAUUCACUGUUCUGUUGUGUUCAGUACUGGACCGCUCUGAUAUUCACUGAGAGCCAUGCAUCAAACUUGUAGUGCAAGCAGAAAUCUUGCCAGCUCUGACAGCUGAACUGAUUAGAGAACAGUCCAUUAGCACACGCGGAUCCAGGAAACAGCAUAGACAAACAGAAAGUCCUUUUUUCCUCCUCAAUUGUUUGCUGAAUCUAUUUACAUAGUAACCCGCUCAUAAAUAUUGAGCCCAUUUCAGAAGCAUAUCUGCUUGUGACUGUGCUAUUGUUUCCACAGGGCACUUGAGAAAGGCUGUAACCACAGGUCUUUGGUAAACUGAGGCCAUGAAAAACUUAUGGUUAUGCUUGCAGGACUGGCCCAGUUGAUCCCCUUAUUUGGACCGGCACUAAGCAACAGCACCAUUUCAUACCUGCAGAUCAUUACACUACAAGUACAAAGCCACCUUGCAGAGACGUGGAAUACUAUCAGUAUGCAGCAACAGCUUGCUUCGCUUAACAACAGUGACUUGUGCUUUUCACAACAUUUAAAGGAUACGUGACAUUAAAUUCAUCUUGAGUAAUAGAUGCUAUUAUUUGGUAAAAGGCUUGGCGCGCAGCCCGGGGCCUUGGGAAGAUUCCUGCUGACGGACCCAAGGCCAUGCACACGGCCCUUCACAAGCAAACACAGGCCCUUCCCUCUGAUGGAAUCUUGUACUCAUUCCACUUGGAAUCACUGGGACAUCUCAAACACAUUAUGUACUAAAGCUACUGAAAUUUCGUCUGAAUUUUAACUUGCCUUUAAAUUAACAUGUUAUGGAUUAUGGAAUGUACUGUAUAUGGAUAUGUAAUGCGAGUAGUGAAUAUGAACAAAUACGUUUCAUUAUUAUUAAUUCAUUAAACCUGAUACAAUAAUUUCUAUUUAAGACAUAAAAUGAAUCAUCAGCCUAAUUUUGUUUAUGUUGCAACAACACAUACUGUAUACUACCAAUCAAAAGUCUGGAAUUAUUAGGAUUUUUUUAAUGUUUUUGAAAGAAGUCUGUUAUGCUCACUACGGCUGCAUUUAUUUGAUCAAAAAUAUGGUAAAAACUCAUAUUGUGAAAUAUUAUUAUUAUUAUUAUUAUUUUAAAUAAUUUGUUUCUGUAAUGCUGAUUUGGUGCUCGGUUAUUGUCAAUUAAUGAUAAUGGUUCUUAUUUUUAUGGUGAAAAUGUUUAUGCUGCUUAAUCAUUUUGUGGAAACUGUCAUAUAUUUUUUUCUCAAAAUUCUUUGAUGAAUAGAAAGUUAAAAAGAGGAUUUAUUUGAAAUAUAAUCUUUUGUUGCAUUCUAAAUGUCUUCACUGUCAAUUUAACGCAUUCUUAACUUAAUUAACCCAAACUUUUGAAUAAACUAUGACAUGUGACCCUGGACCACAAAACCAGUCUUAAGUCGCUGGGGUAUAUUUGUAGAAAUAGCCAAAAAUACAUUGUAUGGGUCAAAAUCAUAAAUUUUUCUUUUAUGCCAAAAAUCAUUAGUAUAUUAAGUAAAGAUCAUGUUCCAAGAAGAUAUUUUGUAAAUGUAUUACCGUAAAUGUAUCAAAACUUCAUUUUUGAUUAGUAAUAUGCAUUGCUAAAGGCUUCAUUUAGACAACUUUAAAGGCGAUUUUCUCAAUAUUUAGAUUUUUUUGCACCCUCAGAUUCCAGAUUUUCAAAUAGUUGUACCUCAGCCAAAUAUUGUCCGAUCCUAACAAACCAUAAAUCAAUGGAAAGCUUAUUUAUUCCGCUUUCAGAUGAUGUAUAAAUCUCAAUUUUGAAAAAUUGACACUUAAGACUGGUUUUGUCGUCCAGGGUCACAUAUCAUAGUUUCCACAAAAAUAUUAGGCAGCACAACUGUUUUCUACAUUAAUUAUAUUAAUUAUUAAUAAUAAAAAGAAAUAUUUGUUGAGCAGCAAAUCAGCAUAUCUGAAUGAUUUCUGAAGGAUUAUGUGACACUGAAGUCUGGAGUAUUGAUGCUGAAAAAUCAGCUUGCUUUAGAAAUAUUACAUUUAAAAUAUAUUCAAAUGGAAAACUCUUUUAAAUUCUUUUAAAUGAUAAUACUAUAUUUUACAAUAUUACUGUAUCAAAUAAAUGCAGCCUCUUUGAGCAUAUAAAUAUAUUAAAAUAUUAAUUAUUACAAACUUGGGAUCAGUAGUGUGAACAAAAGGCUAAAUUAUCAGAACAUUUAUUUGUGAAAUAUGAGAUUACUUAUUUGUAU
This is a long non-coding RNA of Onychostoma macrolepis, 2413 nucleotides long. RefSeq lists it as uncharacterized. The transcript has 3 exons. The record is from RefSeq and is a predicted model, not a curated record. Lineage: Eukaryota; Metazoa; Chordata; Actinopteri; Cypriniformes; Cyprinidae.